CUGCACGCCAUCUACCUGCACGAGCUCCACCAGCAGCAGCAGCAGAGCCCGGGACCCCAGGCCGUGGGGACGUGGGGGGCCAUGGGGACAUCCAAGCCGCCAUCUGAGACCACAGGCUCGGCUGCCAGGGCCCGCUCAGC
This 140-nucleotide long non-coding RNA is filed under the name Columba livia (rock pigeon). RNAcentral describes it as "partial uncharacterized LOC102083573". The record is from RNAcentral. Lineage: Eukaryota; Metazoa; Chordata; Aves; Columbiformes; Columbidae.